This 253-nucleotide ribosomal RNA is filed under the name uncultured bacterium. Its description in RNAcentral is "partial 16S ribosomal RNA". It matches the Rfam family "Bacterial small subunit ribosomal RNA", at positions 524 to 776 of the family's 1533-position model. The record is from RNAcentral.
UACGUAGGGUGCGAGCGUUAAUCGGAAUUACUGGGCGUAAAGCGUGCGCAGGCGGUCUGUUAAGACCGAUGUGAAAUCCCCCGGCUUAACCUGGGAACUGCGUCUGAUACUGGGAAGCUUGAGUUCGGGAGAGGGAUGUAGAAUUCCAGGUGUAGCGGUGAAAUGCGUAGAUAUCUGGAGGAAUACCGGUGGCGAAGGCGGCAUCCUGGACCGAAACUGACGCUGAGGCGCGAAAGCUAGGGGAGCAAACGGG